AGCGAACGCUGGCGGCAGGCCUAACACAUGCAAGUCGAGCGGCAGCGCGUCCGACCACCCUCGGGUGGUCGGAUGGCGGCGAGCGGCGGACGGGUGAGGAAUGCAUCGGAAUCUGCCUCGUUGUGGGGGAUAACGUAGGGAAACUUACGCUAAUACCGCAUACGACCUACGGGGUGAAAGUGGGGGACCUUCGGGCCUCACGCGAUGAGAUGAGCCGAUGCCGGAUUAGCUAGUUGGCGGGGUAAAGGCCCACCAAGGCGACGAUCCGUAGCUGGUCUGAGAGGAUGAUCAGCCACACUGGAACUGAGACACGGUCCAGACUCCUACGGGAGGCAGCAGUGGGGAAUAUUGGGACAAUGGGGGCAACCCUGAGUCCAGCCAUGCCGCGUGUGUGAAGAA
Molecule: ribosomal RNA, 399 nt
Filed under: uncultured bacterium
Lineage: Bacteria
Description: bacterial SSU rRNA
Rfam family: Bacterial small subunit ribosomal RNA
Source: RNAcentral